This 300-nucleotide ribosomal RNA is filed under the name uncultured Haloterrigena sp. RNAcentral describes it as "bacterial SSU rRNA". It matches the Rfam family "Bacterial small subunit ribosomal RNA", at positions 494 to 795 of the family's 1533-position model. The record is from RNAcentral. Lineage: Archaea; Methanobacteriati; Methanobacteriota; Halobacteria; Halobacteriales; Natrialbaceae.
CGGAACACGUGGGGAGGGUGCGCGGUAGUACGGAGGGUGCGGUGGUUAAUCGGAAUGACUGGGCGUAAGGGGGUGGCAGGCGGUUUGUGAAGCGAGAUGUGAAAGCCCUGGGCUCAACCUAGGAAUAGCAUUUGGAACUGGCGAACUAGAGUCUUGUAGAGGGGGGUAGAAUUCCAGGUGUAGCGGUGAAAUGCGUAGAGAUCUGGAGGAAUACCGGUGGCGAAGGCGGCCCCCUGGACAAAGACUGACGCUCAUGCACGAAAGCGUGGGGAGCAAACAGGAUUAGAUACCCCUGUAGUC